Molecule: ribosomal RNA, 1440 nt
Filed under: uncultured organism
Description: 16S ribosomal RNA
Rfam family: Bacterial small subunit ribosomal RNA
Source: RNAcentral
CGUGCUUAACACAUGCAAGUCGAACGGAAAGGCCCUGCUUUUGUGGGGUGCUCGAGUGGCGAACGGGUGAGUAACACGUGAGUAACCUGCCCUUGACUUUGGGAUAACUUCAGGAAACUGGGGCUAAUACCGGAUAGGAGCUCCUGCUGCAUGGUGGGGGUUGGAAAGUUUCGGCGGUUGGGGAUGGACUCGCGGCUUAUCAGCUUGUUGGUGGGGUAGUGGCUUACCAAGGCUUUGACGGGUAGCCGGCCUGAGAGGGUGACCGGCCACAUUGGGACUGAGAUACGGCCCAGACUCCUACGGGAGGCAGCAGUGGGGAAUAUUGCACAAUGGGCGGAAGCCUGAUGCAGCAACGCCGCGUGCGGGAUGACGGCCUUCGGGUUGUAAACCGCUUUCGCCUGUGACGAAGCGUGAGUGACGGUAAUGGGUAAAGAAGCACCGGCUAACUACGUGCCAGCAGCCGCGGUGAUACGUAGGGUGCGAGCGUUGUCCGGAUUUAUUGGGCGUAAAGGGCUCGUAGGUGGUUGAUCGCGUCGGAAGUGUAAUCUUGGGGCUUAACCCUGAGCGUGCUUUCGAUACGGGUUGACUUGAGGAAGGUAGGGGAGAAUGGAAUUCCUGGUGGAGCGGUGGAAUGCGCAGAUAUCAGGAGGAACACCAGUGGCGAAGGCGGUUCUCUGGGCCUUUCCUGACGCUGAGGAGCGAAAGCGUGGGGAGCGAACAGGCUUAGAUACCCUGGUAGUCCACGCUGUAAACGGUGGGUACUAGGUGUGGGGUCCAUUCCACGGGUUCCGUGCCGUAGCUAACGCUUUAAGUACCCCGCCUGGGGAGUACGGCCGCAAGGCUAAAACUCAAAGGAAUUGACGGGGCCCCGCACAAGCGGCGGAGCAUGCGGAUUAAUUCGAUGCAACGCGUAGAACCUUACCUGGGUUUGACAUGGAUCGGGAGUGCUCAGAGAUGGGUGUGCCUCUUUUGGGGUCGGUUCACAGGUGGUGCAUGGCUGUCGUCAGCUCGUGUCGUGAGAUGUUGGGUUAAGUCCCGCAACGAGCGCAACCCUUGUUCACUGUUGCCAGCACGUUAUGGUGGGGACUCAGUGGAGACCGCCGGGGUCAACUCGGAGGAAGGUGGGGAUGACGUCAAGUCAUCAUGCCCCUUAUGUCCAGGGCUUCACGCAUGCUACAAUGGCUGGUACAGAGAGUGGCGAGCCUGUGAGGGUGAGCGAAUCUCGGAAAGCCGGUCUCAGUUCGGAUUGGGGUCUGCAACUCGACCUCAUGAAGUCGGAGUCGCUAGUAAUCGCAGAUCAGCAACGCUGCGGUGAAUACGUUCCCGGGGCUUGUACACACCGCCCGUCAAGUCAUGAAAGUUGGUAACACCCGAAGCCGGUGGCCUAACCGUUGUGGGGGAGCCGUCGAAGGUGGGACUGGUGAUUAGGACUAAGUCGUA